GAUGAACGCUGGCGGCGUGCCCAAUACAUGCAAGUCGAGCGAACAGACGAGGAGCUUGCUCCUCUGACGUUAGCGGCGGACGGGUGAGUAACACGUGGAUAACCUACCUAUAAGACUGGGAUAACUUCGGGAAACCAGAGCUAAUACCGGAUAAUAUAUUGAACCGCAUGGUUCAAUAGUGAAAGACGGUUUUGCUGUCACUUAUAGAUGGAUCCGCGCCGCAUUAGCUAGUUGGUAAGGUAACGGCUUACCAAGGCAACGAUGCGUAGCCGACCUGAGAGGGUGAUCGGCCACACUGGAACUGAGACACGGUCCAGACUCCUACGGGAGGCAGCAGUAGGGAAUCUUCCGCAAUGGGCGAAAGCCUGACGGAGCAACGCCGCGUGAGUGAUGAAGGUCUUCGGAUCGUAAAACUCUGUUAUUAGGGAAGAACAAAUGUGUAAGUAACUAUGCACGUCUUGACGGUACCUAAUCAGAAAGCCACGGCUAACUACGUG
RNAcentral lists this ribosomal RNA (497 nucleotides) under uncultured bacterium. RNAcentral's name for it is "partial 16S ribosomal RNA". It matches the Rfam family "Bacterial small subunit ribosomal RNA", at positions 28 to 507 of the family's 1533-position model. The record is from RNAcentral.